GACGAACGCUGGCGGCGUGCUUAACACAUGCAAGUCGAACGAAGAGCGAUGGAAGCUUGCUUCUAUCAAUCUUAGUGGCGAACGGGUGAGCAACGCGUAAUCAACCUGCCCUUCAGAGGGGGACAACAGUUGGAAACGACUGCUAAUACCGCAUACGAUCUAACCUCGGCAUCGAGGAUAGAUGAAAGGUGGCCUCUAUUUAUAAGCUAUCACUGAAGGAGGGGAUUGCGUCUGAUUAGCUAGUUGGAGGGGUAACGGCCCACCAAGGCGAUGAUCAGUAGCCGGUCUGAGAGGAUGAACGGCCACAUUGGGACUGAGACACGGCCCAGACUCCUACGGGAGGCAGCAGUGGGGAAUCUUCCGCAAUGGACGAAAGUCUGACGGAGCAACGCCGCGUGAGUGAUGACGGCCUUCGGGUUGUAAAGCUCUGUUAAUCGGGACGAAAGGCCUUCUUGCGAAUAGUUAGAAGGAUUGACGGUACCGGAAUAGAAAGCCUCGGCUAACUACGUGCCAGCAGUCGCGGUAAUACGUAGGUGGCAAGCGUUGUCCGGAAUUAUUGGGCGUAAAGCGCGCGCAGGCGGAUUGGUCAGUCUGUCUUAAAAGUUCGGGGCUUAACCCCGUGAUGGGAUGGAAACUGCCAAUCUAGAGUAUCGGAGAGGAAAGUGGAAUUCCUAGUGUAGCGGUGAAAUGCGUAGAUAUUAGGAAGAACACCAGUGGCGAAGGCGACUUUCUGGACGAAAACUGACGCUGAGGCGCGAAAGCCAGGGGAGCGAACGGGAUUAGAUACCCCGGUAGUCCUGGCCGU
This 805-nucleotide ribosomal RNA is filed under the name uncultured organism. RNAcentral describes it as "SSU rRNA". It matches the Rfam family "Bacterial small subunit ribosomal RNA", at positions 28 to 803 of the family's 1533-position model. The record is from RNAcentral.